CUAAUCUUAGAAAUAAACUUCAAAACAAUUAUACCAAACCAAUCACCUCAACUAAAACUCAACGACACAUAAAUCUAGUCAGCUAAACAAAUACAAACUACACGGCCAGCUAUUUAACAAUUUACAAACUUACUUUCACAACGACACACACAUCGAGUCAGCUAAACAAAUACGAACUACACGGCCAGCUAUUUAACAAUUUACAAACU
RNAcentral lists this long non-coding RNA (209 nucleotides) under Brassica napus (rape). Its description in RNAcentral is "long non-coding RNA (BNAP_LNC002824)". The record is from RNAcentral. Lineage: Eukaryota; Viridiplantae; Streptophyta; Magnoliopsida; Brassicales; Brassicaceae.